UACGAAGGGGGCUAGCGUUGCUCGGAAUCACUGGGCGUAAAGCGCACGUAGGCGGAUCGCUAAGUCAGGGGUGAAAUCCUGGAGCUCAACUCCAGAACUGCCUUUGAUACUGGCAAUCUCGAGUCCGGGAGAGGUGAGUGGAACUGCGAGUGUAGAGGUGAAAUUCGUAGAUAUUCGCAAGAACACCAGUGGCGAAGGCGGCUCACUGGCCCGGAACUGACGCUGAGGUGCGAAAGCGUGGGGAGCAAACAGG
Molecule: ribosomal RNA, 253 nt
Filed under: uncultured bacterium
Lineage: Bacteria
Description: partial 16S ribosomal RNA
Rfam family: Bacterial small subunit ribosomal RNA
Source: RNAcentral